Molecule: long non-coding RNA, 1354 nt
Organism: Rhineura floridana
Lineage: Eukaryota; Metazoa; Chordata; Lepidosauria; Squamata; Rhineuridae
Exons: 5
Source: RefSeq, a predicted model, not a curated record
GCAACUAGGAAGAUCCAUUAGAAGCCCGGCUGUGGGAGCAGAAAGGCAUCCGUAGUUCAAGCAACCAACAGGCCUCAACUAAAGGUUUAUGAGGCCUGCCCUCCUUGGCCUCUCCCAAAACCAUCUGCACGUGCUCUCCAGGAACCCUUUACCCAUUGCUCAGUGGCAAAGGCAUUUUUGGACAGUAUUUCCACAAAUAUAUUUCUGUUGUUGCUAUGCGCCUUCAAGUCGAUUGCCACUUACGGCGACCCUAUGAACCAGUGACCUCCAAGAGCAUCUGUCUUGAACCAUCCUGUUCAGAUCUUAAUGGUUAUUCACGAGGACUCAGACCUGGAGCACUGGACAGUGAAAGAGAUCCCUGGUAUUGAUUUUGACUGAAUGUAUUAACCAAUCUCAUCCGGCAUUGAGUAGGCCCUGACCAACUCAGCCCCAUCCAGGCCUUUCGUUGAGGCUGUUCCUGGGAGCCCUUGGCAGCGCGCGCAGGUCUGAAGCUGGCUGCAAAAGUGCAUUCUUGGGAUCGGCACUCAAAGCCUGGACGUUGGAAUUAGAAGGAAAGGAUGAAGAUGUCUCAUCCAGAAAUGAGAGAAGGAACUGCUGUAGCCGGAGAUUUUGUGACCCAAUCAGGCCCUGGCGCAGAGGAGCAAACUCCUUGAUGGUGUUGAUGGGAUGCUAUCCCCAGGAUUCCCUGCCGCUUCUUCUGCAGUUACAGACUUCUCACUCUCCACAACUUGGCUUUUUUGAAGUAGGAACGAAUAGGUACUCCUUGCACUCUGAUUGGCUCCCAUCAGCAGGGAAGGACAAGGAAGCAAGUUAGAAGACUCUUCUCAGUGGCUAACACAUUCCCCUUUCAUGCUGAUUGGCUCAUAGGAAGCUGGAGACAUAGGGACCCUGCUGGGACCUGACUCCCAAAAAAGUAAAGGGUCUAAGACCCUCUGAGGCCCUGGAUGACUACACCUCUGUUUCAACUGUGCUUUGCAAUCAAGACAGGACUUGGUAAGGGGGAUCCAUUUUGCAAAAGGGGAACAGUAAACACAAUUUCAUCCUUGUGUGCCUCCCAGGAAUAUUUGGGGUGCCUGGACCUUCCAUAUUUAAGCUCAGCAGAACCCUGCCUGGAUUGCAAUUCUGUUUUUCGGAACCUUUGUAUCUUGCCUUUUAAUUGUUCCAUCAUGGAAAAUCCAAAUGUGGUUUCAUUGUCACCCAUCCAGGCACUCAGGAACAGGCUUAAUUUGAAAGAGGGAGGUCUGAGCCUUUGCCAGGUCAGGGGUGCAAAAUGGGCAGGGGGGAAUGAGGAUAAGGCACAAGCGUUUUUAGCAUGUGUUUAAAUUGUUUUAAACUGUGUUUUGAAUUGUUUUUA